Long non-coding RNA from Lemur catta (Ring-tailed lemur), 840 nucleotides. RefSeq lists it as uncharacterized. The record is from RefSeq and is a predicted model, not a curated record. The transcript has 2 exons. NCBI's taxonomy places the organism in Eukaryota, Metazoa, Chordata, Mammalia, Primates, Lemuridae.
CAAGCCAUGGAUGCUGAGCUAGAUCUUUCUUUAGGUUCUUUGGUGAAAUAAUAAACCUUGUUGGUUUUGAACUCUGACUAUCUAGAGGUGGAACAAGUAUUUCAAAUGCCUGGUGAUCUGAAGCCUGAUCUAGACCUACAGCUUGAAUCUUACUUCUGAGUUGAGGAGGCAGAACUAGGACUUGAGUCUGAUUCCAACCUGGCACUGGAACCACCUCCGGGACCCUUUGUUGUGGAGUCAGCUUGUCAUUAGGAUCCCAAUGUGGAAUGGCAAACUGAUCUGGCCCUGGAGGCAGCACUUGAGCUGAAUGCGUGUCCAGCAAUAGAGCCAAAGUCUCAGUCAACUGCUGAGGCAGGGCCAACAUCUGGGAAGAAGCAGAGGACCCCAGUGUCUAGCACAUGGCUUGUGUAAGGUUGGUGGGGGGGGCUGUGUAGCCCCCUCCCCUGCUGCAAACCCCUCUGCCCUAAGCAGUGAGUCCGCUCCACUUUUCCACUUGAACAAGCACCUGGCCUCACCAAGCCCAGCCACAUCCUGUGACUGGCAGCACACCCAGCCCCCAUGCCGUCUACCCGAUCCUGGAGAUAUCCUGUUGCAGCCCCAGAGACAUCCUGUUUACGGAAAACUUAAUAAACCACUUAAACAAGCACCUAAAAAGCAAGCUCCCCUCCACUUAUGCCUCUCACCGCAUAUAAUUACCCUUGCCUCAGUCCCAGACAACUGUGACUUCUCGAGUCCCUGGUUUCUCCUGGGACCUGGGAACCUCACCCAGGCCCCUCCCUUGGGACCCGUUACCCUCACCUAGGAGUGCUCCAAUAAAGCCUCUUUGCUUAACCCUUUCAA